This 71-nucleotide transfer RNA is filed under the name Loxodonta africana (African savanna elephant). It matches the Rfam family "tRNA". Rfam says of the family: Transfer RNA (tRNA) molecules are approximately 80 nucleotides in length. Lineage: Eukaryota; Metazoa; Chordata; Mammalia; Proboscidea; Elephantidae. The record is from Rfam by way of RNAcentral.
GCAUUGGUGGUUCUGUUGCAGAAUUCUCGCCUUCCAUGCAGGAGACCCUGGAUCAAUUCCUGGCCAAAACA